Molecule: ribosomal RNA, 950 nt
Filed under: uncultured bacterium
Lineage: Bacteria
Description: bacterial SSU rRNA
Rfam family: Bacterial small subunit ribosomal RNA
Source: RNAcentral
CCUACGGGAGGCAGCAGCAAGGAGUUUUCCGCAAUGGGCGAAAGCCUGACGGAGCAACGCCGCGUGGGGGAUGACGCCCUUCGGGGUGUAAACCCCUUUUCUUGGGGACGAAGCAGUGACGGUACCCGAGGAAGAAGGCCCGGCUAACUACGUGCCAGCAGCCGCGGUAAUACGUAGGGGCCGAGCGUUGUCCGGAGUUACUGGGCGUAAAGCGCGCGCAGGCGGCUCGUCAAGCCUGACGUGAAAGCCCCCGGCUCAACCGGGGAGGGUCGUCGGGGACUGGCGGGCUUGAGGUCGGCAGGGGCUGGUGGAAUUCCCGGUGUAGUGGUGAAAUGCGUAGAGAUCGGGAGGAACACCCGUGGCGAAGGCGGCCAGCUGGGCCGGACCUGACGCUGAGGCGCGAAGGCGUGGGGAGCGGACGGGAUUAGAUACCCCGGUAGUCCACGCAGUAAACGAUGCAGACUAGGCGUGGGGGGACUUGACCCCCUCCGUGCCGAAGCUAACGCGUGAAGUCUGCCGCCUGGGGAGUACGGCCGCAAGGCUAAGACUCAAAGGAAUUGACGGGGGCCCGCACAAGCGGCGGAGCGUGCGGUUUAAUUCGACGCAACGCGUAGAACCUUACCAGGGCUUGACAUGCACCUGCAGAGCCGUGAAAGCGGUUGGCCUUCGAGGGUGGUGCACAGGUGCUGCAUGGCUGUCGUCAGCUCGUGUCGUGAGAUGUUGGGUUAAGUCCCGCAACGAGCGCAACCCUCGUGGUUAGUUGUCGAUGUUUCUAGCCAGACUGCCGGUAGCAAGCCGGAGGAAGGUGGGGAUGAUGUCAAGUCAGCAUGGCCCUUACGUCCUUGGCUACACGCACGCUACAAUGGCCCGGGACAUGGGCUGCCAAACCGCAAGUGGAGCGAAUCCCACAAACCCGGUCUUCAGUUCAGAUCGCGGGCUGCACUUCGCCG